CAAUAGCGUAUAUUAAAGCUGUUGCGGUUAAAAAGCUCGUAGUUGGAUUUCUGUCAAGGACAACUGGUCCGCCCUCCGGGUGAGCACAUAGUUUGGUCUUGACAUCUUGCUGGAAGCUGUUGCUGCACUUGGCUGUGUGGCGCAGUGUUCAGCACUUUCACUUUGAGGAAAUUGGAGUGUUUCAAGCAGGCACAUGCCUUUGGACACAGUAGCAUGGAAUAAUUAGAUUGGGCUUUUGCUCCAAUUUGUCGGUUUCUGGAGCUGAGGUGAGUAUUAAUGGGGAUUGUUGGGGGCACCCGAAUUUAGCCGUCAGAGGUGAAAUUCUUGGAUCUGCUAAAGACGGACAACUGCGAAAGCGUUUGCCCAGGAUGUUUUCAUUGA
RNAcentral lists this ribosomal RNA (381 nucleotides) under uncultured eukaryote. RNAcentral describes it as "partial 18S ribosomal RNA". It matches the Rfam family "Eukaryotic small subunit ribosomal RNA", at positions 592 to 976 of the family's 1831-position model. The record is from RNAcentral.